AUUCGGUGGGGAUUAGUGGCGAACGGGUGAGUAACACGUGGGCAAUCUGCCCUUCACUCUGGGACAAGCCCUGGAAACGGGGUCUAAUACCGGAUACUGACCCUCGCAGGCAUCUGCGAGGUUCGAAAGCUCCGGCGGUGAAGGAUGAGCCCGCGGCCUAUCAGCUUGUUGGUGAGGUAAUGGCUCACCAAGGCGACGACGGGUAGCCGGCCUGAGAGGGCGACCGGCCACACUGGGACUGAGACACGGCCCAGACUCCUACGGGAGGCAGCAGUGGGGAAUAUUGCACAAUGGGCGAAAGCCUGAUGCAGCGACGCCGCGUGAGGGAUGACGGCCUUCGGGUUGUAAACCUCUUUCAGCAGGGAAGAAGCGAAAGUGACGGUACCUGCAGAAGAAGCGCCGGCUAACUACGUGCCAGCAGCCGCGGUAAUACGUAGGGCGCAAGCGUUGUCCGGAAUUAUUGGGCGUAAAGAGCUCGUAGGCGGCUUGUCACGUCGGUUGUGAAAGCCCGGGGCUUAACCCCGGGUCUGCAGUCGAUACGGGCAGGCUAGAGUUCGGUAGGGGAGAUCGGAAUUCCUGGGUGUAGCGGUGAAAUGCGCAGAUAUCACGAGGAACACCGGUGGCGAAGGCGGAUCUCU
This 638-nucleotide ribosomal RNA is filed under the name Streptomyces violaceoruber. Its description in RNAcentral is "bacterial SSU rRNA". It matches the Rfam family "Bacterial small subunit ribosomal RNA", at positions 80 to 730 of the family's 1533-position model. The record is from RNAcentral. Lineage: Bacteria; Bacillati; Actinomycetota; Actinomycetes; Kitasatosporales; Streptomycetaceae.